AUGGCGGCGCCCAGGUCCUAAUUCGGGAAACGUGCACCUUGACUAAUUCGGUUUUCUGUGGCUACGAGAGCAGGCUUGGCGGGCGGAGGCGCCAGCGGAUGUCUCAUGCAAGGAUCGUCUCUGUGGCUAAGCCUCACUUUCCGCUCCGCCCGGGUGCUCUCUAGAGCCCGGUUUUUCGAGUGGCAGUCCCCAGGGCUGCCGAAUACAGCAGCGAUGGAGAACGGCACCGGGCCCUAUGGAGAAGAACGCCCACGUGAAGUCCAGGAGACGACAGUCACCGAGGGGGCUGCCAAAAUCGCCUUUCCCAGUGCCAACGAGGUCUUUUAUAACCCGGUGCAGGAAUUCAAUCGGGACCUGACGUGAGCAGGGGUCAGACGUUAGCCUGGCAUCGGCUAGUGGGUCAGUGUGGAUGGCGGGGGCGGGGUAUGAGCUAGUCCUCUGUCUCCCACCAGAUGUGCUGUGAUCACCGAGUUUGCUCGCAUUCAGCUUGGGGCCAAAGGAAUCCAGAUCAAGGUGCCAGGAGAGAAGGACACGCAAAAAGUGGUCGUGGACUUGUCAGAGCAAGAGGAGGAAAAGGUUGAACUGAAAGAGAGUGAAAACCUGGCCUCAGGAGACCAACCUCGCACAGCGGCCGUGGGGGAGAUCUGUGAGGAAGGCCUGCAUGUGCUGGAAGGCCUGGCAGCUUCAGGCCUACGUUCCAUUCGAUUUGCCCUAGAGGUGCCUGGGCUCAGAUCUGUGGUUGCAAACGAUGCCUCCACCCGGGCUGUGGAUCUCAUACGCCGGAAUGUCCAGCUCAAUGACGUGGCCCACCUGGUACAGCCGAGCCAAGCAGAUGCCCGGAUGCUGAUGUACCAGCACCAGAGGGUGUCGGAGAGGUUUGACGUCAUCGAUCUGGACCCCUAUGGCAGCCCAGCCACCUUCCUGGAUGCAGCUGUGCAGGCUGGUUGCUGUGUGUGACCUGCACAGACAUGGCGGUGUUGGCGGGGAACAGCGGGGAGACAUGCUACAGCAAGUACGGGGCCAUGGCCCUCAAGAGCCGGGCCUGCCACGAGAUGGCCCUGAGAAUCGUCCUGCACAGCCUGGACCUCCGCGCCAACUGCUACCAGCGCUUCGUGGUGCCGCUGCUCAGCAUCAGCGCUGACUUCUACGUGCGUGUUUUUGUCCGUGUCUUCACCGGCCAGGCCAAGGUCAAGGCCUCAGCCAGCAAGCAGGCGCUGGUGUUCCAGUGUGUGGGCUGCGGGGCCUUCCACCUUCAGCGUCUCGGCAAAGCGUCAGGAGUCCCCAGCGGCCGGUGAGCAGGGAGGAAGGAGGAGAAGGGGAGUCCCAGGGUUUUCCUCCCUCCCUACCAACCACCCCUCUCUGUUUAGGGUCAAGUUCUCUGCAGCCUGUGGUCCCCCUGUGACCCCCGAGUGUGAACACUGUGGGCAACGACACCAGCUUGGCGGCCCCAUGUGGGCAGAGCCCAUCCAUGACCUGGAUUUUGUGGGCCGUGUCCUGGAGGCUGUGAGCGCUAACCCCGGCCGCUUCCACACCUCGGAGCGGAUCCGAGGGGUCUUGAGCGUCAUCACUGAGGAGCUCCCGGACGUGCCUCUGUACUACACCCUGGACCAGCUGAGCAGCACCAUCCACUGCAACACACCAAGCCUCCUGCAGUUGCGGUCGGCCCUCCUCCACGCUGACUUCCGGGUCUCACUCUCCCACGCCUGUAAGAACGCUGUGAAGACGGAUGCCCCUGCCUCUGCCCUCUGGGACAUCAUGCGUUGCUGGGAGAAGGAAUGUCCGGUGAAACGGGAGCGACUAUCAGAGACUAGCCCAGCGUUCCGCAUUCUCAGUGUGGAGCCCAGGCUGCAGGCCAACUUCACCAUCCGGGAAGAUGCCAACCCCAGCUCCCGACAGCGAGGACUCAAGCGCUUCCAGGCUAACCCAGAGGCCAACUGGGGUCCCCGGCCUCGUGCCCGGCCAGGGUGAGUGGUGGUAAGGUGGGGGUGGGGCUCAGCCAGGGAAAGAAGGGGUAAAGGGCAGAUGGGGUCCCACCUACUCCUCCCCUCGCACAGGGGCAAGGCGGCCGACGAAGCUAUGGAGGAGAGACGCAGGCUGCUUCAGAACAAGCGGAAGGAGCCGCCGGAAGAUGUGGCCCAGCGGGCUGCCCGGCUCAAGACAUUUCCUUGCAAGAGGUUUAAGGAGGGCACCUGUCAACGCGGGGACCAGUGCUGCUACUCCCACAGCCCCCCGACACCCAGGGUUUCUGCUGAUGCUGCCCCUGACUGUCCAGAGUCCUCCAACCAGAGCCCCCCUGGACCUGGGGCUGCCGCUGGGCCAGGCAUAGA
This 2327-nucleotide small RNA is filed under the name Pan troglodytes (chimpanzee). Its description in RNAcentral is "retained intron". Lineage: Eukaryota; Metazoa; Chordata; Mammalia; Primates; Hominidae. The record is from RNAcentral.